AGCGAACGCUGGCGGCAGGCCUAACACAUGCAAGUCGAACGGACCCUUCGGGGUUAGUGGCGGACGGGUGAGUAACACGUGGGAACGUGCCUUUAGGUUCGGAAUAGCUCCUGGAAACGGGUGGUAAUGCCGAAUGUGCCCUUCGGGGGAAAGAUUUAUCGCCUUUAGAGCGGCCCGCGUCUGAUUAGCUAGUUGGUGAGGUAACGGCUCACCAAGGCGACGAUCAGUAGCUGGUCUGAGAGGAUGACCAGCCACACUGGGCCUGAGACACGGCCCAGACUCCUACGGGAGGCAGCAGUGGGGAAUCUUGCGCAAUGGGCGAAAGCCUGACGCAGCCAUGCCGCGUGAAUGAUGAAGGUCUUAGGAUUGUAAAAUUCUUUCACCGGGGACGAUAAUGACGGUACCCGGAGAAGAAGCCCCGGCUAACUUCGUG
RNAcentral lists this ribosomal RNA (433 nucleotides) under uncultured bacterium. Its description in RNAcentral is "partial 16S ribosomal RNA". It matches the Rfam family "Bacterial small subunit ribosomal RNA", at positions 29 to 507 of the family's 1533-position model. The record is from RNAcentral.